Non-coding RNA from Podarcis lilfordi (Lilford's wall lizard), 86 nucleotides. NCBI's taxonomy places the organism in Eukaryota, Metazoa, Chordata, Lepidosauria, Squamata, Lacertidae. The record is from the annotation of a GenBank genome assembly.
GCUAUCCUACGCUCAGCUGGCUAAAACAUGGUGUUGAUAAUGCCAAGGUUGCAGGUUCAAUCCCAGCUGCAUAUUCCUGCAUAGCA